This 425-nucleotide ribosomal RNA is filed under the name uncultured bacterium. RNAcentral's name for it is "partial 16S ribosomal RNA". It matches the Rfam family "Bacterial small subunit ribosomal RNA", at positions 354 to 796 of the family's 1533-position model. The record is from RNAcentral.
GUGGGGAAUCUUGCGCAAUGGGCGAAAGCCUGACGCAGCCAUGCCGCGUGAAUGAUGAAGGUCUUAGGAUUGUAAAAUUCUUUCACCGGGGACGAUAAUGACGGUACCCGGAGAAGAAGCUCCGGCUAACUUCGUGCCAGCAGCCGCGGUAAUACGAAGGGGGCUAGCGUUGCUCGGAAUUACUGGGCGUAAAGGGCGCGUAGGCGGACAGCUUAGUCAGAGGUGAAAGCCCAGGGCUCAACCUUGGAAUUGCCUUUGAUACUGGCUGUCUUGAGUUUGGGAGAGGUGAGUGGAACUCCGAGUGUAGAGGUGAAAUUCGUAGAUAUUCGGAAGAACACCGGUGGCGAAGGCGACUUGCUGGCCAGCAACUGACGCUGAGGCGCGAAAGCCAGGGGAGCAAACGGGAUUAGAAACCCUAGUAGUCC